CGCAAGGGGAGUGGCAGACGGGUGAGUAACGCGUGGGAAUCUACCGUACCCUACGGAAUAACGCAUGGGGACGUGUGCUAAUACCGUAUACGCCCUUCGGGGGAAAGAUUUAUCGGGGUAUGAUGAGCCCGCGUUGGAUUAGCUAGUUGGUGGGGUAAAGGCCUACCAAGGCGACGAUCCAUAGCUGGUCUGAGAGGAUGAUCAGCCACAUUGGGACUGAGACACGGCCCAAACUCCUACGGGAGGCAGCAGUGGGGAAUAUUGGACAAUGGGCGCAAGCCUGAUCCAGCCAUGCCGCGUGAGUGAUGAAGGUCUUAGGAUUGUAAAGCUCUUUCACCGAUGAAGAUAAUGACGGUAGUCGGAGAAGAAGCCCCGGCUAACUUCGUGCC
Molecule: ribosomal RNA, 389 nt
Filed under: uncultured bacterium
Lineage: Bacteria
Description: bacterial SSU rRNA
Rfam family: Bacterial small subunit ribosomal RNA
Source: RNAcentral